UUAAGAGUUUAUUGUAAUCAAUUCAAUAAGAAAUAUUACAAUGUUACUAUCGUAAAUAGUAAAAGAAUAAAAAAUAAGAUUUAAUUAUACUAUUUAUUCUUUUAUUCUUCCUUUUAAUUUACAGUGCUGCCUCUAUGUUUUUACAAUACAAGCUACAAAAAUUACGAUAGUUGGAUUGUAAAUUUUCUGAAAUGGUAUAGUAUAUGCCAUCUGAAGCGUUUACGUAUGAAAGACAAGUGUUGUCACAAACCAUGAUGUGAUGCUUGUAUGAGUGUAUAUAUAUAUAUAAAUACAAAUGAUGACAUCUACUUUGUCUGUAUUAUUUGUGGUUCAACUAUAUAUAUUUAUAAAUCAGUUCAUCUUUAUCCACAGUGUAGUGCAGAAAUAGAGGUUAUUAUUCAUGACGUUUUUCGGACAAUUGUAAAUAAGAAAUUUAAAAUAAAAACUGUACUUUCGUCAUUACAAACCUACAUAGAUUGUGGAAUAUAAUAAUUUGGUGGUGAUAAUCUUCAUUUGUCGACAAUGAAUAAUUUUACCCGGCUUUGCGAGAGGUAAAACAUUUCAAUAACCUCAAAUUAUGGACAUUCAACAUUUCUUUAUGAUACUGAAGUUAGCAGACGCCUAAUAAUUUUUGGAUUUUUUUAAAAAUGAUAAAUUAUAGAAAAAAAGUAUUCGAAAAAAUUGCACCUAUGGUUUUUUUAAUUUUCUACAUGUGCGUAUUUUGAAUACAAAUAAAUGAGUUAUUUAUUCAUAAAUUUUAUAUAUACCAAAAAAAUAUGUUUGAAAAAAUAUUAAAUAAAUGUUUUAUUAUUACUACUUCAA
This is a long non-coding RNA of Microplitis mediator, 822 nucleotides long. RefSeq lists it as uncharacterized. NCBI's taxonomy places the organism in Eukaryota, Metazoa, Arthropoda, Insecta, Hymenoptera, Braconidae. The record is from RefSeq and is a predicted model, not a curated record. The transcript is spliced from 2 exons.